RNAcentral lists this long non-coding RNA (203 nucleotides) under Callithrix jacchus (white-tufted-ear marmoset). Its description in RNAcentral is "lncRNA (ENSCJAG00000076564.1)". The record is from RNAcentral. Lineage: Eukaryota; Metazoa; Chordata; Mammalia; Primates; Cebidae.
CUGUACCAGAGCAGAUGGGGAGGUGUGUCCAGAACCCUUGAAGAAAGCAACAGGUCAAGGGGGUAAAGCCGUGCUGGAAAGGAGGCCCUUCCUCACAGGAGACACAUCAGCCCCACCUCACCUGGAAGAAGGUCCACAGGAAAACAAGGUGAGAGCUCAAGUUCUCAUUUUUGUGCACUUAGCCAAAAGGGUCAAAAAGGAUC